This 253-nucleotide ribosomal RNA is filed under the name uncultured bacterium. RNAcentral's name for it is "partial 16S ribosomal RNA". It matches the Rfam family "Bacterial small subunit ribosomal RNA", at positions 524 to 776 of the family's 1533-position model. The record is from RNAcentral.
UACGGAGGGGGCUAGCGUUGUUCGGAAUUACUGGGCGUAAAGCGCACGUAGGCGGCUUUGCAAGUUAGAGGUGAAAGCCCGGAGCUUAACUCCGGAAUUGCCUUUAAAACUGCAUCGCUAGAAUUGUGGAGAGGUGAGUGGAAUUCCGAGUGUAGAGGUGAAAUUCGUAGAUAUUCGGAAGAACACCAGUGGCGAAGGCGACUCACUGGACACAUAUUGACGCUGAGGUGCGAAAGCGUGGGGAGCAAAAGGG